RNAcentral lists this ribosomal RNA (497 nucleotides) under uncultured bacterium. RNAcentral describes it as "partial 16S ribosomal RNA". It matches the Rfam family "Bacterial small subunit ribosomal RNA", at positions 28 to 507 of the family's 1533-position model. The record is from RNAcentral.
GACGAACGCUGGCGGCGUGCUUAAUACAUGCAAGUAGAACGCAGAGCGUUGGAAGUUGGCUCCUACGAAUCUUAUUCGCAAACGUGAGUAUCACGUGGAUUAACCCUCCGCUUCAGGGGGAGACAAAAUGUGGAAGCUACCUCUAAUCCCACAUACGAUCUAAUCUCGGCAUCGAUGAUAGAUAGAAGGUGUUCUCUACCUGUAAGCUAGCACUGCGGCUGAUUAGCGAGUUGGUUGGGUAACGGCUCACCAAGGCAACGAUCCAUAGCCGACCUGAGAGGAUGAACGGCCACACUGGGACUGAGACACGGCCCAGACUCCUACGGGAGGCAGCAGUAGGGAAUCUUCCGCAAUGGACGGAAGUCUGACCGAGCAACGCCGCGUGAGUGAUGAAGGCUUUCGGAUCGUAAAGCUCUGUUGUACGGGAAGAAAGGGUUUGAUGCGGGUAGGGAGAAGGAUUGACGGUACCGGAACAGAAAGCCACGGCUAACUACGUG